CUUGCAAUUUAAAUUUGGCUAUAUUGCUCUACUUGGAACCAUUCCAGCAAAUUGCACCAUUAUUUAGGAUAAGGAUGUAUUCCAACACGUUCUUACUAUUAUUAUGUUCAACUGAAAACUUGAGUCAUACUCCACAUGUUUUAAGUCAAAUUCUCCAUAACCGAGUCACCGAUCCUUAGUAUUUCUUAAAUACUUAAGGAUGACCUUCCAGUGAUUCUUACCCAGAUCUUGCAAGUAUCCACUCACUGUCCUAGUAAGUAUACCAUAUCCGAUCUCAAACAUGGUGUAAUAAUAGAACAAAUUCUACUCAUAACACCCUAGGUAUGUUGGACUAGAAAACUUAAGCAGCCUCUUAGAUAUAUCUCUAUAGAUCUUCAUUCUUAGGAUGAGAGAUGCUUUUCUCAAAGUCCUUUAUGGAGAACAACAAUAACAGAAAAAUAUUUAUUUUUUGUAAUGUAAAGAAUGUCAUUCCUGAUUAAGAGAAUUUCAUUCAUAUACAAAAUAAAAGAUACACUUAUAGAACUAUUAACCCAUUUGUAUUUGCAGGAUUCUUCUUCAUUCUCAAUGAAGCC
Molecule: long non-coding RNA, 572 nt
Filed under: Elaeis guineensis (African oil palm)
Lineage: Eukaryota; Viridiplantae; Streptophyta; Magnoliopsida; Arecales; Arecaceae
Description: long non-coding RNA (EGUI_LNC033076)
Source: RNAcentral